Molecule: RNA transcript, 1827 nt
Organism: Homo sapiens (human)
Lineage: Eukaryota; Metazoa; Chordata; Mammalia; Primates; Hominidae
Gene: ZNF56P
Gene name: zinc finger protein 56, pseudogene
Exons: 3
Source: RefSeq, marked validated
GCCCCCGAGCCUGGUACAGGCUGGGAUUGUAGUCCUGCAGCCUUGUGGCCGAAGGGCUGGGACUGGCCAUGAGAUUACAUGUCCUAGCAUGCUCAGCCAGGCGCGCGCAGCUCUGCCCCUUCCUCCAGUGAUGCGCACAGUCCCUGAUCCCUGUGCACGCUGGGAUUGUAGUCCUGCAGCCCUGCGAUCACUUGCAGGUAACAAGAAAUUUCAGCUUCCGGCAUGAUGGGCGAAGGCCCCCACCUUCAGCCUCGCUCCUCCAUGCCUUCAGAGCUGUUCCGCCAUGCAGACGGGGAGCCUGCCUGUUCUUUAACCUCUCCUACCUGAUGGGAGAGGACAAGCUACCAGGACAGCUUGUCUCACCAAGAAAUUGUGAUACCGCAUCCCCCAACGUGCUGGCUUCCUGACUUCCAAAGUUGCGGGACCAUUGCAAUUUAGAGACGUGGCCAUAGAAUUCUCUCUGGAGGAGUGGCAUUGCCUGGACACUGCACAGUGGAAUUUAUAUAGGGAUGUGAUGUUAGAGAACUACAGACACCUGGUCUUCCUUGACCUUUGGCCAGAGCAGAGCAUAAAAGAUUCUUUCCAAAAAGUGAUACUUAGAAGAUAUGAAAAAUGUGGAUAUGACAAUUUACAGUUAAAAAAAGGCUGUGAAAGUGUGGAUGAGCAUGAGCUGCUCAAAAGAGGUAAUAAUGGUCUUCACCACAGUCUGACAACUACCCAGAGAAAAAUAUUUCAAUGUGAUAAAUAUGGGACAGUCUUUCAGAAAUUUUCAAAUUGAAACAGACCUAAGAUACGACAUACUGGAAAAAAAUCUUUCAAAUGUAUAGUAUGCGGCAAAGCUUUUAACUCGUCCUCAAACCUUACUACACAUAAGAAAAUUCAUACUGGAGAGAAACCCUACAGAUGUGAAGAAUGUGGCAAAGCCUUCAAAAGGUCCUCACACCUUACUGUACAUAAGAUAGUUCAUACUGGAGAGAAAUCCUACAAAUGUGAAGAAUGCGGGAAAGCCUUUAAGCACCCCUCACAUGUUACUGCACAUAAGAAAAUUCAUACUGGAGGGAAACCCUACAAAUGUGAAGAAUGUGGCAAAGACUUUAAGUACACUUCUACCCUUAUUGCACAUAAGAGAAUUCAUACUGGAGAGAAGCCCUACAAAUGUGAAGAAUGUGGCAAAGACUUUUAAGUGCACUUCUAACCUUACUACACAUAAGAGAAUUCAUACUGGAGAGAAGCCCUACAAAUGUAAAGAAUGUGGCAAAGCUUUUCACCUAUCCUCACACCUUACUACACAUAAGAUACUUCAUACUGGAGAGAAGCCCUACAGGUGUAAAGAAUGUGGCAAAGCUUUUAACCAUUCCACAAUCCUUUUUUCACACAAAAAAAUUCAUACUGGAGAGAAAUUCUACAAAUGUGAUGAAUGUGGCAAAACCUUUACCUGGCCCUCACUACUCUCUAAACACAGGAGAACUCAUACUGGAGAGAAACCCUACAAAUGUGAAGUGUGUGGCAAAGCCUUUACUGCAUCCUUAACUCUAACUGAACAUCAGAGAAUUCAUACUGGAGAGAAACCUUACAAAUGUGAAGAAUGUGGCAAAGCUUUUAACUGGUCCUCAUACCUUCAUAAACAUAAGAGAAUUCAUAUUGCACAGAAACCCUACAUAGUGAAGAAUGUGGCAAACAUUUUAAAUAUUCCUCCACUUUUAAUAAGCAUAAGAUAAUUCAUACUGGAGAGAAACUGGAUGAAUGUGGGAAAGCCUUUAACCAGCCCUCGACUCUUACUAACUAUGAGAAUUUAUAUGGAACAUAAACUCAUACAAAUAUAACAAA